RNAcentral lists this long non-coding RNA (199 nucleotides) under Lathyrus oleraceus (garden pea). RNAcentral describes it as "Pisum sativum (pea) long non-coding RNA (PSAT_LNC040897)". The record is from RNAcentral. Lineage: Eukaryota; Viridiplantae; Streptophyta; Magnoliopsida; Fabales; Fabaceae.
AAAACCAGCUGGAAAGCCAAUCUGCGGAGAUCUACAUGCUGUAAAGCAAAGAUCUGCGGGUACUGCUGAAGAAGCAGAGAAUCAGAGAUAUCAAGAAACAACCCAAUCAGGGUACAGAAAGUCACAACGGGCAAAACAGCCACCAAGACAAAUCUGUAGGGGAACAAGAGAAGUCCCAAAGCAUCUCCAGGAGAUCCCA